This 115-nucleotide ribosomal RNA is filed under the name Amphiprion percula (orange clownfish). The record is from RNAcentral. Lineage: Eukaryota; Metazoa; Chordata; Actinopteri; Pomacentridae.
GUUUGUUUCUGACACUGAAUACACCCAAUCUCAUCUGAUCUGCAAAGCUAAGCAGGAUUGGGCCUGGUUAGUAUUUGGAUGGGAGACUACCUGGGAAUACCACGUGCUGUAAGCU